GACAACCUUUGAACUCACCCAGCACCAAUUCUUUGGGGGCUUCGAUUGUCAUGUCCAAUAGUCAUUAGCAUUCACAUUUUAAAGUGGGCUGCUUCAUCAAAACAUUCUGCAAGAAUUUGCGUUUCAUUCUGUUUAGUAUUUUAAUCAAGAAUAAUUUAGGCAAAUUUUAACCAAACGACCAUUAAUCCAUUUGGUUUGCAGGGGUAUUUGUUGUUGUCUGGAU
This 223-nucleotide unclassified non-coding RNA is filed under the name Hevea brasiliensis (rubber tree). Lineage: Eukaryota; Viridiplantae; Streptophyta; Magnoliopsida; Malpighiales; Euphorbiaceae. The record is from RNAcentral.